This 366-nucleotide ribosomal RNA is filed under the name Anopheles punctimacula. RNAcentral's name for it is "eukaryotic LSU rRNA". Lineage: Eukaryota; Metazoa; Arthropoda; Insecta; Diptera; Culicidae. The record is from RNAcentral.
CACAUGAACAUCGAUAAGUUGAACGCAUAUUGCGCAUCGAGAGUUAAUGCUCGAUGCACAUAUCUUUGAGAGUCCAUAGUUGCAUACAUUAAACAGCGUGCGCUUGCGCACGUGCCAGUUGGGGUGGGCGUCGCAAGGCGGCUACCCUUAAAAUCUUGGAGAGUGUCCACCGUUCCGCUGGGUUCUCGUUACCAGUGGGCAGCGGUGGCCGGCACCUCACCUCUUUCCAAUGAGCGUUGAGAAGUGUUCGGUCGCAUGCGCUGCACACGACGGGAACUUUGGGACGGCGUGGCCCUUCUUCAAAGCUUUAGUUUCGAAGCGCUCUUUCGGUGGAGUACAUGGACCUCAAAUGAUGUGUGACUACCC